This 206-nucleotide ribosomal RNA is filed under the name uncultured Actinomycetales bacterium. RNAcentral describes it as "partial 16S ribosomal RNA". It matches the Rfam family "Bacterial small subunit ribosomal RNA", at positions 128 to 334 of the family's 1533-position model. Lineage: Bacteria; Bacillati; Actinomycetota; Actinomycetes; Actinomycetales. The record is from RNAcentral.
GCCACUUGACUUUGGGAUAACUUCAGGAAACUGGGGCUAAUACCGGAUAGGAGCUCCUGCUGCAUGGUGGGGGUUGGAAAGUUUCGGCGGUUGGGGAUGGACUCGCGGCUUAUCAGCUUGUUGGUGGGGUAGUGGCUUACCAAGGCUUUGACGGGUAGCCGGCCUGAGAGGGUGACCGGCCACAUUGGGACUGAGAUACGGCCCAG